CAGUGUUCACAGGAGACAGAACCUCUGACCUCGCUCUUUUAUUAACAGAAAAGUGUGUCCGCACUUGGUGUUCGGUGGCCCACGCCGGGGCCUACUCAGUGCAGCCCGCCCCUGUUCCCGCCUGGAGUUUGGGGUUAUCAAGCCCCGGCUGGCGUCUUCUGGGGCUCAGGAUGCCGGGGCAGCCCAAGCCGAGGGCCCGGCAGCGCUGGGGGGCCGGGCGGGGCCUAUCUGGCCCAUGAGGAUCUGUACCAGCAGGUCGGUGGCCAGCACAUGCGAAGGCUCCUCGAAGCCGAUGGGCGCGGUAAAAUGAGUUCCAGUCAUUGGUGGAGUUCUGUCCUACCCUCCCUCCGACCUCAAGCCCACGUGGCCAUCGCUGGCAUCCUACCAUGAAUCAAGGUCAUCCUCUGCCGGUCCUAGGGGCAUCCAGCGGCCGAUGGACCAGAGUUUCUGGAUUUGGGGGCACGAAUUGGCUGGACCCUGGCCUGCAUCCUCCCAUGUAUCUCGAUAACAUAAGAAGUAGCUGAGAGAGAAAUCAGAAGGAAAAGCAGUGCCCUCAAUUUUUCUGCUGAGGGCUUUCUUUCUGGAGGUGAGGGUUCAAGUUCAUCUGUCAGAAGUUGCCUUAAGUUCUCAGGUGGGGAUGUGGGGAUGUGCCUAGGACUUUCCUCCCUGGCGGCCCAAUCUGAAGGUGAAGGUGGAGUUAAGAAAAACUCAGUGGUGUGCAUUGCUGGCCUAGCAGAUGCAAGGUCCUGGGUGUUGUCCCAGCAAUGCAAAAGGUGUUCAUUUUUCUGUCUCGCUUUUCACUCUCUGGUGGCGCUGUAGAGGCUCAAGCUGACAUUCAACAUAGGAUGGGGAAGGAUUUUGGUUUCGACAAGGAAACUCACUAGUCCACAUGGGAGUCUGUUCCUUGGCUACUGGCCUCUGUGGUGGUUUCCAGGUUCCAGCGCAUCUUCUUAUAGAGGUACCUCGGGAAGUGACUGGCAGUGUACGCAGCUGGGGUGCAGUACCGGAAGAUGGACACAUCGUGGGAAGGGCUAAUGGAGAACCUCCCGCAGAAGAAGCAGGAAAUGCUAACAGGAGAUAGAGAGUGGACAGCAAGCUGGGCCCUGGCUUCUGCCACCCCACAACUCAUUCCCUGCCCCCUUACCUCAAAGGGUUGGUUUCCUCCAGGUCCACGAACCCGAAGGAAGCAUACAUGAGAACUAGCUGUUCCAAGCGCAGGGUGAGCUGCUGGGAGAUCUCCAGCAACUGCAUGGAAGGCGGGAGACUUCCUGACCUCAGAGGGUCGGCCAGAAGCCACCCUCCCAUCCCUAGGCAGAGCCCCAAGGAGAUGGGACCUGGUAAGGUACACACCCCCUUCCGGACCAGCUCCUGCAGGGCUCCGUAGAUGGGAGGGACACUCCUGGCGGCAGCCUCAAGGUACAGGAAAUAAGGUUCGCACAUCGUUAGGAAGGUGGGCAUGGCCUUGGCUAGCUGUUCCUUCUGUACGCGGUCCCUGCUGAAGGGAGAAAGGGGCCUUCACGUGACAUCACUCUCCCUCCAUCCCCAGGUGCCCCAUGCUUACCACCUGUAUCCCCAGAGCCAGCUUAGCGUCAGCGCGCUUGCAUAGCCCAGGCGGAGCCCUUGGUUCCAUCCCCCCCAGCCCCGCACCCAAAAUCAAACAUAAAAAGAGGGACUGGGAGGUUGUUACUGAUCAAGACUGGGCCUCGACACAGGUGGGGCUUUAGACUUCAGCGCUCGCAUAAGAAAGAUCCCCCGGUGUCAAGUCUUUCUCCCCUUCGUCUUUCAGAACCACCUGCAUCCGUCCUUUAGGACAUUUAUUAAAAUGCUGACACCUGGGCCGGGAGUGCCCCGCCGUGGCCCAGGGCUUGCCUAACACAAGGGUCUAGGUUCCCUCCCCGGUGUGUUUCGGGGUGCAUGCAACUGCCGAGUGGGGCUCAGAAAGCUGGGGGUUAAGCCAGCCUCCGACAGACCGACAAUCCCUUUUCCCUGGUCCAGAAACUGGAUCUUUCCUUGGGAGUGGAGUAUGGCCUCCCACAUUGGAAGUUCUCUGGCCAGAGUUAAUGCAAAUAGAUUUUGUUAGGCUGACUUACAAUGGGUUUUUUAAAAAAUCCAAGUGAGCAUUUCAAAUUUGGUAGGCAGUACUCAGUAGACUGAGGCAGGAGGGUCGCCAAUUCAAACGUGAUGAGAUACUAAAAAAAAUCGGCCAACUCAACCAACAAACCAAAAACAAAAUUGUGAAAGACUGGCGCUUGGUGUCCCCAAAGCCCACACAUUGCCUGCCUCUCAAUUCUCCACAGCCCUCGGCAUACUAGUAGAGUGUAUUCCUGAUCAGCUAGCCGUGAGUCGGUUUUUGCUCCUGGUGAGAGCUGUACAGCCUGUCCUCCUGUCCUGGAACCUGCGCCCCUGCACCCCUGCCCCCUGCACUUGGUCACCUGUAGAGCAAGUAGCUUUGAAAGUCAUCCGCCUUCCUAAGCAGAUAUCGCAGCUGGUCAGUGAUGGGGCUGAACAUGGAGUCCAGUGGGAGGCGAGCAGGUCCGAGUUCCUCUGCCAGUGGCUCCCUGGAGGACGCGGAGGCUGGGGUUUCCAUCAGCUGCUGUGCCCUCUGGGGCUCCUGCUCCGCUGAGGCCUCGGGUCUCCCGGCGGGCGACCACGAGGGGUCUCCAUAGGGCGGCGGCCCGGGUACCAAAUCGUCCGAAGGGGGUGCUUCUCCAGGACCCAGGGCCAGUGACCCGGCGAACCAGGACUCCGCAGCCAUCGGGCAUCCAGCGCAGGCUCCUCCAGCCUCCGCGGAGUCCCAGGAGGGCAGCACACCUGGGGCCGACCGGUCGGGGCAGUGAGCACCGUCACCCCCUCGAACCAGCCUCGACGUCUCUGCCGGCGCCGCCCCGCGAGGCUUUCGCCUCUUUUGAAUUGGAGCACGCGGAAGGCCGCGCAGCCUGAGUCUGCACUGCGCAGAGCUCGGCGGGCACCUGGCGCGCGGGGCAGGGCGAUGCCAAGGGCGGAGCUCCAGACCGGCCUAGUAGACAUCUGCAGGUUGGUGCCUUCUCUCUCCCAGGUCGUUGACCGGGCUGAAGGGGAUUCCUAACAUGUUAGGAAUUGGGGAAGGCGGGUUACCGAGAGGCUUAGGCUCCACCCCAGCCGCUGACCCCCAAGAUCAGAUUCUUCACCGAUGGAGCUGGAAUCUGUCCGUGAACCUACAAGAGACUAGUGACUAGCAGUCACUUCUACAAUAAAGACCCAUCAGACAGUGA
Long non-coding RNA from Arvicola amphibius (Eurasian water vole), 3251 nucleotides. RefSeq lists it as uncharacterized. The transcript is spliced from 2 exons. The record is from RefSeq and is a predicted model, not a curated record. Lineage: Eukaryota; Metazoa; Chordata; Mammalia; Rodentia; Cricetidae.